AAUUUACAUUGAAAGAGUAUUGAGACCUUAAUAUUUUAAUUUUGAAAUUUGCAUAAAAAGAAUACCACAUCAAAAAUUUGAGAUUAAUGGUUUAAAUUUUUUGUUACAUUAAAUAUACAAAUGUUUACAAAACCAUAUUAGUAAGAAGUCUCAAUAAUAAAUAUUUAUAUUAAAAUUUUAUUAUAUAAAAGAGUGUUUUACUCACUCCUAAAACUGCGAUAUGUGAUUUCACAUAGGAAAGUCGCGCGUCUAGGAGCUGAUUAAACGCUCUGUUUCAUUUAUUUUUUCCUCGGAAUAUUUUGGGCUUAGCUUCAUAGUGUGUUUUGCUUUAUCAAGCCCAUACUGAUAUAAAGCAUAAUAUGAUUAUGAUGUGUUCAAAACGCGGCGUUUUUUAUUUUAUCGUUUCACACUCUCUCUUCUCCACCGUAGGCAAUUCUAAGGUUUUCAUCGAUUCACUGAUCCAGCAAUCAAUCGGCGCCGUAGCGAAUCGAGCGAUUUAUUCAUCUUCUUCCUACUGAUCCAAUCCAGAAAUCAAUCGGUUAAGGAUUCAUUACUAUUAAAUUCCAUCUUAAAUCCAUCGUACACGAUCUAUCUUCAAUGCCACUUUUGCUCUUCAAAGGUGGUGGAGAUUCCACUAUAAAAAAGCAAGGAUGAGAAACUACAGGAAUAUCAGUUGACCAGUUACAGACCCUGUGAAAGUUUAAGAUUAUAGCGUUAGUGGCGACGUUUUCCUAAUAAAAAUUUCUUCAUAUCGCCUGGCAUAGGCUGAGAAGCUACACACGACACGAGUAAAGGAUGAGGAGUGCGAGGCAGAUGAGUGGAAGUUCUGUGUUGUUUAGACGUCUUGCUUUAGUUAUACUGAACUUGGCUAAUUGUGACAUGUUUGCUGUUAUAGUUACCCAAAAUCAAAAGUCUACUUUACAGUUCUCCCAAGUUUUAAUCUCAAGGGUUAUGCUUCAAUUGGCUUUAGAGUUGCAUACUCUUUGAUGGUUGGUGGGAGAGAAAUGCUUCAUUGUCUUGUCAUAAAACUACAACUUUGUGGGGGGUUGUUGUCUAAUUUCGGUUGUUAGAUGUUAGUGUUUCACUGUGUCCAAAAGAAAAAAAAAAGAUGUUAGUGUGUCACGAUACUGAUAGCUUAUGGUUAUCGAUGUGCAGAUAAUUCAAAGAAGAUAUCAUUCCUUGAUUCUCUUGAUGUCCCUCCAUAGAAUCAAGCAUAUUGUGAUAAUUCGGAGUUUAUGGUUUUGUUAACAUAUAUUUAAAAACGAAAUGAAAACCCAAGAAAUAUGAUUUUUAGUUUCAUUUCUCUUGCUUUUAGUAAAUAUUGCCUUCUGUUUAUCGAGGUUUGUUUUGCUGGCGAGUGAUGGUCGUAUAACAAAGAGAAGGAAUGCCAUCUUUAGUGGCUGUUUCUCUAGAAGCUGAGAUGACAUGAAAAUAGCUAUUUCUGAGUCCAAGGAAAAAGAAGCCAGAAAGAAAUAGUGGAGCUACCGAAGCAACUCAAAGGCUGAUGAAGCAAAAUCAUUCACUGUCUAAGUGAAACAAAAUCAUCCACUUAAAAGCUACGAAAGUCUCAAGAAGAAGUAGAGCAAGCAAAGGCUAGGGCAAGUACAAUGGAGACCAUUUUAUAUUGGCAGCUCAGGAAUAAACCAAGGCUGGUAAAGGUUCGGACAGGUUGGCAUUAGCCGCCAUCUGCUUAGCUAGCGUGCUCAUGAUGCUGAAGAAGAAGCCAAUACAAGAAUUGCAACAGUUGUUCUGAGGAAUCUAGAGAAAUAGAGAAAGUAAACUUGGAGAGGAAGAAGCAAAAAAAAAACACUUGCAUAAGCAACCGAGAAGGCUAAAGAAGAUGAGUUAGGCCUAGAACAAGAGUUGAGAAAAUGGAAAGAAGAAUAUAAAGUAAAGAAAGAUCAGUGAUAAUGGGGUGAGCAUAGUGAAAAUUUAUGGAGGAAGAAUAGAAGGGUCAAAGGCAAAGAAACUGAGUUUAAUUGAAUUGAACAAACCCAAUCCCACAAGCAAAUCCUAGAAAAAGGUCACAUAAGUGAGUCUGAUGCGAAGAAGUUGAUUAGGUAAGAUCUGUUUUAUAAAUGUAAAAGUCUACAUUAUAAAAGAAGAGUUAAGUCAUCUCGAUUUCUGAUACUUAGUGACCACCAGUAACUUGCUUUAUUAAUGGCAUUUUAUCUCAACAUCUACUGCAAUAGAACUAGACAUGUCAAUUAGGGCCGAAGCCCGUAGCCCGAGCCCGCCCAGCCCUAAAAAUUACCGGGUUUGGGCUUAACUUUAUAAGCCCAAAAAAAAUUAGGCUUUUCGGGCUAAGCCCAUUUGGGCUUUGGGUAUUUUGGGCUUAAGUCCGUUUGGGCUAGGGCCGGCCCGAAAACCCGAAAUUUAUAUUUUAGCGUAAAUAUUAUCCUUCUUUCUUGUAAUCGAAACUAUUAUUAGUAUUGAUAUAUUAUUUUAAUAUUUUUA
Molecule: long non-coding RNA, 2457 nt
Organism: Brassica napus (rape)
Lineage: Eukaryota; Viridiplantae; Streptophyta; Magnoliopsida; Brassicales; Brassicaceae
Exons: 2
Source: RefSeq, a predicted model, not a curated record